Molecule: ribosomal RNA, 433 nt
Filed under: uncultured bacterium
Lineage: Bacteria
Description: partial 16S ribosomal RNA
Rfam family: Bacterial small subunit ribosomal RNA
Source: RNAcentral
AACGAACGCUGGCGGCAUGCCUAACACAUGCAAGUCGAACGAGACCUUCGGGUCUCGUGGCGCACGGGUGCGUCACGCGUGGGAACCUGCCCUUAGGUUCGGCAUAACUCCCCGAAUGGGGUGCUAAUACCGGAUAAUGUCUUCGGACCAAAGAUUUAUCGCCUUUGGAUGGGCCCGCGUUGGAUUAGCUAGUUGGUAGGGUAAAAGCCUACCAAGGCGACGAUCCAUAGCUGGUCUGAGAGGAUGAUCAGCCACACUGGGACUGAGGCACGGCCCAGACUCCUACGGGAGGCAGCAGUGGGGAAUAUUGGACAAUGGGCGAAAGCCUGAUCCAGCAAUGCCGCGUGAGUGAUGAAGGCCUUAGGGUUGUAAAGCUCUUUUACCCGGGAUGAUAAUGACAGUACCGGGAGAAUAAGCUCCGGCUAACUCCGUG